This 864-nucleotide ribosomal RNA is filed under the name Triticum aestivum (bread wheat). Its description in RNAcentral is "partial small subunit ribosomal RNA". Lineage: Eukaryota; Viridiplantae; Streptophyta; Magnoliopsida; Poales; Poaceae. The record is from RNAcentral.
AUGUGCAUCCCAAAGAAGAAAGGGAGCAUGGGUUUUAGAGACUUGCACAACUUUAAUCUUGCUAUGUUAGCAAAACAGUGUUGACGUCUAAUCCAGAACCCUGGUUCAUUUUGUGCGCAUGUAUUAAGUGCAAAAUAUUUUCCUGAUGGAAAUAUAUUAACGACUGGCCCCAAGAAAGGUUCUUCAUAUACUUGGCAAAGUAUAGUCUCAGGGAUCCAAACUUUUAAGAGGGGAUGUUUGUGGAGAGUUGGAAAUGGCUCAAAGAUCAAUAUUUGGCAAGAUUCUUGGACUUCGUCUAGUGUUUCAAGGAAAGUGAUCACACCAAGGGGACAAACUUUACUAUCGAAGGUGGAAGAAUUGAUCAACCCACACAUUGAUCAAUGGGACGAGGAACUCAUACGUUCUGUUUUCAGCUAAGUGGAUGUUAGUAGAAUUCUGCAAAUCCCUCUCCGAGUUGAUAUUGUAGAGGACUUUGUUGCAUGGAACCACACAAGGUCAAGAUACUUCUCAAUGUGAUCUUCAUAACAUGUGGAGUUUGAUCACCAAUAUGGUCAGCGAAAAUUACUUACUGAUGGUGCGGGAAGCGUUCAAGUAAAUGAAAUUUGGAAGGAUAUGUGGCGUCUAAAAGUCCUCGGUAAAGUCAAACAUUUUGUAGGGAAGGUACUGCGUGGAAUACUUCCAUGUUACAGCGUGCUAGCUAGUUGUCAUAUUCCUGUCACUACCUAGUGCCCGAUGUGCAAAAUUGGGUUGAAGGAUAUACAACAUUGCUUGUUCACUUGCACUAGACCGCUGGAAGUUUGGGCUGCUUUAAGCUUGGAGGAGGUGAAAGUGCAACUAUCCCUGGGUGGUUUUGGUAAUUAUUAA